RNAcentral lists this long non-coding RNA (2867 nucleotides) under Papio anubis (olive baboon). RNAcentral's name for it is "lncRNA (ENSPANG00000048862.1)". Lineage: Eukaryota; Metazoa; Chordata; Mammalia; Primates; Cercopithecidae. The record is from RNAcentral.
AAUAUAGAUUAACAUUUAUGGAUAAGUGGUAGAAGAUUCUUCAAAGAAAACAACAGAAAUUACAAAAGACAAUAUUGAUAUACUGACCUUAUUGGAAAACUUAUUAAUAUACAUAAAUAAUAAAACACUCAUGUGUUUUUACAAUAAAAGAACUGAUAUAUGAUCAAAGAAUAUAAUCAGUUCACAAAGCAACCAUAAGUACCACAAACUUUCUACUCUUAUUUGAGAAGGACAACACUUCAACUUCACCAUCUUGCCUCAAGACAUUUGCUCUUCAGUUCUGUGUCAUAAUUUAAUUCACUGGGACCUUCACAUUUUCAUCACCUUACAGGGCAGCAAAUUUACCCAUUAUGUACAUGAAUUCAUGUACUUAGGCACACAGGAAAUAGGAGACAGUUUGAAAGUCCUGGUAAAAAAUUUUUUUCCCACUGUUUUAUGAUUCAGGUCAAACUCAGACCAAAUCAGUUUUACCUGUUUUGAUUUAAGAUAUAUUUCCUCAAAGUUAAACAGAAAUUCAAAAUAUUGCACUGGUAUCACAUGUAACUUCUUAAAUAUAAUGUUAAUAAUAUAAUUGAUUUUCAGAGUGAACAAAAGUGGAUAAAACAAAAUUUAUGAUUAGGGAUAGUUAGAAGCAUAGCCUAGUAGUAACAUCUCACUUUUUAGAAAUAAAUGUUUUAUAAAAUCUUUUCAAUAACAACAUUCUUUUUGCCUUCUACGUAAUCCUCUAACAACUCUGUUUCUUCAAAUUUUAUGUGAGAUAAUUUUAUGACAUCUUAGGACAGUAAGAAGCAGCAUUUAUCUAAAAAUCUUAAAAUCAAACAAGAAUGAAAAAGUAUACAGAAAGUCUUACAUGGAGCAGACUCACCAGCAAAGACAUGCCCUCUGCCAACUUCCCAAGCAGGAAAAAAAAACAACAACAACAACAACUUUUAGUUGCAUGAUAUAAUAACGAAAGUAUAUACAAAGAAAAAAGACACCACGACCACCACCACCUAGUUCCUAAACGGGCUGAAGGCCAGGGGUCUGGACAAGAUUUGGGGAAAAAAAGAAAGGAGACAACCAGUAACCUUGGGAAUCAAAGCCACAGGGGUCAGCAGAAACGCUGUACCUUCAAGGGCUUAAAAGCCUUGCAAGCAUCAGGGAGAGGGUUCCCUUUUCACAGCUCUCACUGUAAUUAUAAUUCUUCAUUACUGUCUGAAUCUCCCAUGGGACCGUGAGCUGCAGGAGGGCAGGAGCAGUGCCUGUGUUCUUGACUGCCAUCUCUCCCCACAAAAAAUUGCGCCAGGGAAAUAAAACACAUAAUAGAAAAAGUGAGAGAAGGUGAGAAGGUGAAGGAAAAUGCAUUUUAAAAACUAGGUAAUUGUGUUUACAAAGAACUAAAACUAAAUGUUUCUGGAAACUUCUUUUGUCUCAGUCCGUGUUCUGUUGCUUAUCACAGAAUACCUGCAACUGGGUAAUUUAUAAAGAAAGAGAAUUUAUUUCCUACAGUUAUGGAGUCUGAGAAGUCCAAGUCAGGCUACCUCUGGUGAGAGCCUUCUUCGUAUGCAGAGUCCUGAGGUAGCAGUGGGCACCACAUGGCAAGGUGGCCAUGCGUGCUCAUGUGCUCAGUACUCUCUUCUUCUUCUUAUAAAGCCACCAGUCCCAUUCCUGUGACAACCCACUAAUCCAUUAACCCACACAUCUAUGAAUGGAUUAAUCCCUUCCUGAGGACUCUGCCCUCAGGACCCAAUCACCUUUCAAACGCCCCCACCUCUCACUUCUGCCACGUGGAGGAAUAAAUUUCAAGAUGAGUUUUGGAGGCUACAGAUAAACAAACCCCAGUAGUUUGGUGAUAAGGAGAAUUUUAAUAAUAUCGUAUAAUUUUAUGAUAAAAUAUGACUAUUUAAUUAAUGGUCGGCCGCUUAACAAAGGUAAAAAUUUCUCUCUAAAUGUGAUCAUCAUAGCAAACCGAGGUUUCGCUGACAAAGUAAGUUUCAUCUCCUGAGUAACUUCAUAAAUCAAUGGAAAUUAUCUUUUUUCUGUAUCUAGUAGACAUACUGACUAUUCCUUUGAAGCCAAAUAGUGCCAGGACUUUUUCCUGUGAAGUGGUAUGAGAAGUAAAUCCUUUCUGUGUAACACUGGCUAUGAAAAUUAUACUACAGUUUUUAGUUUAUCCAAUUAAAGAAAUUCUCUUUAAGAGAUUAUUUUUACAAAUUUUAAUGGCAUAUUGGUAGUACAUUCCUUUAAACAGGUCAAAAUUUAGUUAUUUAUUAAGCUGAUAAUAAGAGUUGUAUAACCUUUUCCAUAUUUUAUUAAUUUAGGAUCUCACUGAACAUAUUUGUUUUAAAUACAUUAUGUUUACGGGAUGUGUUUAGAUAUACAAAAGGGAUUUUUUUUUUAUUUUGUUGAUUUUCCCGAUUCUAAUUUUUCCAUAGUCUUCCAUUAAGGGCUCCUCUUUGAGUGAUUAUUUUAAAAUUUACCUUCCUCCUACAUUAUUUUCCAAAUCAAUCUUUUUCCCUUUCUAAAAUAGUACUUUUAUUUAGUUAAAAAAAAUGUCAUAGUGGGAAUGUUAUCAACACAGAAUAGUAGUAUAUAACAGGUUUUGAUUUUGUUUGCAUGAAUCCUAGUCAAUAUUGCCUCUAAAACUUCAAAAACUAACCAGUGAAUAAACAUUAGCCAUUUUCACCUUAGCAAUUUCACAUGAAUCCAUGGAAAACAUAUGCUCCUGACAUAUUCAUAUAUCCUCAAACGCUUUUGUGCUAUAUGUCUGUUGACAAUUCAUAUGGUAUUGCAUUUUGAUUAUGCAAAAUGACAUACAGAGUAAUUUAUUCCUAGGUUAGAGAUAGAAAAGUUACCUAAUCCACAAGCCCCAGGGUACUGUUAGCAGU